Molecule: small nucleolar RNA, 138 nt
Filed under: Drosophila busckii
Lineage: Eukaryota; Metazoa; Arthropoda; Insecta; Diptera; Drosophilidae
Description: small nucleolar RNA psi28S-3316
Rfam family: Small nucleolar RNA psi28S-3316
About the family: psi28S-3316 is a member of the H/ACA class of snoRNA. This family is responsible for guiding the modification of uridine 3316 in Drosophila 28S rRNA to pseudouridine.
Source: Rfam by way of RNAcentral
AGCACCUAAAAGCGUUUUCUUGGUCGCUCUGAUGAAACGCGCUUGAAAAUCGUAGCUGUGUGCUAAAGCAAUUGUUUGCAGUAGCAAAAGUCUUGAUUUCUUUCAAUAAUUCAAGCCAUAAUAAACUGUACAACAAGC